UGGCGCACGGGUGCGUAACGCGUGGGAAUCUGCCCUUGGGUUCGGAAUAACAGCGGGAAACUGCUGCUAAUACCGGAUGAUGACGUAAGUCCAAAGAUUUAUCGCCCAAGGAUGAGCCCGCGUAGGAUUAGCUAGUUGGUGAGGUAACGGCUCACCAAGGCUAUGAUCGUUAGCUGGUCUGAGAGGAUGGCCAGCCACACUGGAACUGAGACACGGUCCAG
This 221-nucleotide ribosomal RNA is filed under the name uncultured bacterium. RNAcentral's name for it is "partial 16S ribosomal RNA". It matches the Rfam family "Bacterial small subunit ribosomal RNA", at positions 96 to 334 of the family's 1533-position model. The record is from RNAcentral.